CAAAAUUAACAUCCUCAUUUUGCUUAUAUUAUACGAUUUUAUUUAUCUAUGUUAAAAGCACCCAUAAAGGAUGGAAGGUUUUAAGUACUGGUGUAAAAUUGCGCGUUUGAAAUUCGCACAGGUAGAGAUAAAAUAAUUUUGUCGUUCAAAGUAUGACGGGAUGCAUAAAUACAAUCACGUAAAAUAGAUAUAACAAAGAACAGAC
RNAcentral lists this long non-coding RNA (205 nucleotides) under Mytilus galloprovincialis (Mediterranean mussel). Lineage: Eukaryota; Metazoa; Mollusca; Bivalvia; Mytilida; Mytilidae. The record is from RNAcentral.